RNAcentral lists this ribosomal RNA (481 nucleotides) under uncultured bacterium. RNAcentral describes it as "partial 16S ribosomal RNA". It matches the Rfam family "Bacterial small subunit ribosomal RNA", at positions 30 to 507 of the family's 1533-position model. The record is from RNAcentral.
UUGCACGCUGGCGGCAUGCCUUACCCAUGCAAGUCGAACGGUAACGGGCCUUCGGGUGCCGACGAGUGGCGAACGGGUGAGUAAUACAUCGGAACGUGCCCGAUCGUGGGGGAUAACGAGGCGAAAGCUUUGCUAAUACCGCAUACGAUCUACGGAUGAAAGCAGGGGACCGCAAGGCCUUGCGCGGACGGAGCGGCCGAUGGCAGAUUAGGUAGUUGGUGGGAUAAAAGCUUACCAAGCCGACGAUCUGUAGCUGGUCUGAGAGGAUGAUCAGCCACACUGGGACUGAGACACGGCCCAGACUCCUACGGGAGGCAGCAGUGGGGAAUUUUGGACAAUGGGCGCAAGCCUGAUCCAGCCAUGCCGCGUGCAGGAUGAAGGCCUUCGGGUUGUAAACUGCUUUUGUACGGAACGAAAAGCCUUCUUUUAAUACAGGAGGGUCAUGACGGUACCGUAAGAAUAAGCACCGGCUAACUACGUG